UUAAGUUAAUAAGGGCGCACGGUGGAUGCCUUGGCACUAGGAGCCGACGAAGGACGUGACAAACGACGAUAUGCCUUGGGUAGCUGUAAGUAAGCGAUGAUCCAGGGAUUUCCGAAUGGGGGAACCCAACAGGUAAUACCUGUUANCCACAUCUGUUAAGGAUGUGAGGAGGAAGACGCAGUGAACUGAAACAUCUAAGUAGCUGCAGGAAGAGAAAGCAAAAGCGAUUGCCUUAGUAGCGGCGAGCGAAACGGCAGAAGGGCAAACCGAAGAGUUUACUCUUCGGGGUUGUAGGACUGCAAUGUGGACUCAAAGAUUAUAGAAGAAUGAUUUGGGAAGAUCAGCCAAAGAGAGUAAUAGCCUCGUAUUUAAAAUAGUCUUUGUACCUAGCAGUAUCCUGAGUACGGCGGGACACGUGAAAUCCCGUCGGAAUCUGGGAGGACCAUCUCCCAACCCUAAAUACUCCCUAGUGACCGAUAGUGAACCAGUACCGUGAGGGAAAGGUGAAAAGCACCCCGGGAGGGGAGUGAAAUAGAACCUGAAACCGUGUGCCUACAACAAGUUCGAGCCCGUUAAUGGGUGAGAGCGUGCCUUUUGUAGAAUGAACCGGCGAGUUACGUUAUGAUGCGAGGUUAAGUUGAAGAGACGGAGCCGUAGGGAAACCGAGUCUGAAUAGGGCGCCUUAGUAUCAUGACGUAGACCCGAAACCAUGUGACCUACCCAUGAGCAGGUUGAAGGUGCGGUAAGACGCACUGGAGGACCGAACCAGGGCACGUUGAAAAGUGCUUGGAUGACUUGUGGGUAGCGGAGAAAUUCCAAACGAACUUGGAGAUAGCUGGUUCUCUCCGAAAUAGCUUUAGGGCUAGCGUCGACAUUAGAGAUUCUUGGAGGUAGAGCACUGUUUGGGUGAGGGGUCCAUCCCGGAUUACCAAUCUCAGAUAAACUCCGAAUGCCAAUGAAUUAUGGUCGGCAGUCAGACUGCGAGUGCUAAGAUCCGUAGUCGAAAGGGAAACAGCCCAGACCACCAGCUAAGGUCCCAAAAUAAUUGUUAAGUGGAAAAGGAUGUGGGGUUGCACAGACAACUAGGAUGUUAGCUUAGAAGCAGCUAUUCAUUCAAAGAGUGCGUAAUAGCUCACUAGUCGAGUGACCCUGCGCCGAAAAUGUACCGGGGCUAAAACAAUUUACCGAAGCUGUGGAUACCUUUAUAGGUAUGGUAGGAGAGCGUUCUAUGUGUGAUGAAGGUAUACCGUGAGGAGUGCUGGAACGCAUAGAAGUGAGAAUGCCGGUAUGAGUAGCGAAAGACAGGUGAGAAUCCUGUCCACCGUAAGACUAAGGUUUCCAGGGGAAGGCUCGUCCGCCCUGGGUUAGUCGGGACCUAAGGAGAGACCGAAAGGUGUAUCCGAUGGACAACAGGUUGAUAUUCCUGUACUAGAGUAUGUAGUGAUGGAGGGACGCAGUAGGCUAACUAAAGCAGACGAUUGGAAGAGUCUGUCUAAGCAGUGAGGUGUGAAUUGAGUCAAAUGCUUAAUUCUAUAACAUUGAGCUGUGAUGGGGAGCGAAGUUUAGUAGCGAAGUUAGUGACGUCACACUGCCAAGAAAAGCUUCUAGCGUUUAAACAUACUCUACCCGUACCGCAAACCGACACAGGUAGUCGAGGCGAGUAGCCUCAGGUGAGCGAGAGAACUCUCGUUAAGGAACUCGGCAAAAUGACCCCGUAACUUCGGGAGAAGGGGUGCUGACUUAAAGUCAGCCGCAGUGAAUAGGCCCAAGCAACUGUUUAUCAAAAACACAGCUCUCUGCUAAAUCGUAAGAUGAUGUAUAGGGGGUGACGCCUGCCCGGUGCUGGAAGGUUAAGAGGAGUGCUUAGCGUAAGCGAAGGUAUGAAUUGAAGCCCCAGUAAACGGCGGCCGUAACUAUAACGGUCCUAAGGUAGCGAAAUUCCUUGUCGGGUAAGUUCCGACCCGCACGAAAGGCGUAAUGAUUUGGGCACUGUCUCAACGAGAGACUCGGUGAAAUUUUAGUACCUGUGAAGAUGCAGGUUACCCGCGACAGGACGGAAAGACCCCAUGGAGCUUUACUGCAGUUUGAUAUUGAGUGUCUGUACCACAUGUACAGGAUAGGUAGGAGUCUAAGAGAUCGGGACGCCAGUUUCGAAGGAGACGCUGUUGGGAUACUACCCUUGUGUUAUGGCCACUCUAACCCAGAUAGGUGAUCCCUAUCGGAGACAGUGUCUGACGGGCAGUUUGACUGGGGCGGUCGCCUCCUAAAAGGUAACGGAGGCGCCCAAAGGUUCCCUCAGAAUGGUUGGAAAUCAUUCGCAGAGUGUAAAGGUAUAAGGGAGCUUGACUGCGAGAGCUACAACUCGAGCAGGGACGAAAGUCGGGCUUAGUGAUCCGGUGGUUCCGUAUGGAAGGGCCAUCGCUCAACGGAUAAAAGCUACCCUGGGGAUAACAGGCUUAUCUCCCCCAAGAGUUCACAUCGACGGGGAGGUUUGGCACCUCGAUGUCGGCUCGUCGCAUCCUGGGGCUGUAGUCGGUCCCAAGGGUUGGGCUGUUCGCCCAUUAAAGCGGCACGCGAGCUGGGUUCAGAACGUCGUGAGACAGUUCGGUCCCUAUCCGUCGCGGGCGUAGGAAAUUUGAGAGGAUCUGCUCCUAGUACGAGAGGACCAGAGUGGACUUACCGCUGGUGUACCAGUUGUCUUGCCAAAGGCAUCGCUGGGUAGCUAUGUAGGGAAGGGAUAAACGCUGAAAGCAUCUAAGUGUGAAACCCACCUCAAGAUGAGAUUUCCCAUGAUUAUAUAUCAGUAAGAGCCCUGAGAGAUGAUCAGGUAGAUAGGUUAGAAGUGGAAGUGUGGCGACACAUGUAGCGGACUAAUACUAAUAGCUCGAGGACUUAUCCAA
RNAcentral lists this ribosomal RNA (2900 nucleotides) under Streptococcus pneumoniae. RNAcentral's name for it is "23S ribosomal RNA". It matches the Rfam family "Bacterial large subunit ribosomal RNA". The record is from RNAcentral. Lineage: Bacteria; Bacillati; Bacillota; Bacilli; Lactobacillales; Streptococcaceae.